GGGGGGGGGGGGGGGGGGGGCGGGGGGGGGGGGGGCGGGGGGGGGCGGGGGGGGGGGGGGCUGGUGGGGGGGGCGGGGGGCGGACGGGGGGGGGAGGCAGCGGCGUGGGCUUGUGCGGGGGGGGGAGCGGCGGGACCCUUACGCUCAUACCGCAUACGACCUACGGGUGAAAGCAGGGGCUCUUCGGACCUUGCGCGAGUGACGGACCCGAGGUCGGAUUAGCGAGUUGGCGGGGUAAAGGCCCACCAAGGCGACGAUCCGUAGCUGGUCUGAGAGGAUGAUCAGCCACACUGGAACUGAGACACGGUCCAGACUCCUACGGGAGGCAGCAGUGGGGAAUAUUGGACAAUGGGCGCAAGCCUGAUCCAGCCAUACCGCGUGGGUGAAGAAGGCCUUCGGGUUGUAAAGCCCUUUUGUUGGGAAAGAAAAGCAGCAGGUUAAUACCCCGCUGUUCUGACGGUACCCAAAGAAUAAGCACCGGCUAACUUCGUG
Molecule: ribosomal RNA, 492 nt
Filed under: uncultured bacterium
Lineage: Bacteria
Description: partial 16S ribosomal RNA
Rfam family: Bacterial small subunit ribosomal RNA (bases 60-492)
Source: RNAcentral